Molecule: ribosomal RNA, 446 nt
Filed under: uncultured bacterium
Lineage: Bacteria
Description: bacterial SSU rRNA
Rfam family: Bacterial small subunit ribosomal RNA
Source: RNAcentral
AGAACGAACGCUGGCGGCAGGCCUAACACAUGCAAGUCGAGCGCGCCUUCGGGGUGAGCGGCGGACGGGUUAGUAACGCGUGGGAACGUACCCUUUGGUAGGGAAUAGCCACUGGAAACGGUGAGUAAUACCCUAUGAGCCCUUCGGGGGAAAGAUUUAUCGCCAAAGGAUCGGCCCGCGUUAGAUUAGGUAGUUGGUGGGGUAAUGGCCUACCAAGCCUACGAUCUAUAGCUGGUUUUAGAGGAUGAUCAGCAACACUGGGACUGAGACACGGCCCAGACUCCUACGGGAGGCAGCAGUGGGGAAUCUUGGACAAUGGGGGCAACCCUGAAUCCAGCCAUGCCGCGUGAGUGAAGAAGGCCUUAGGGUCGUAAAGCUCUUUCGCCUGUGAAGAUAAUGACGGUAGCAGGUAAAGAAACCCCGGCUAACUCCGUGCCAGCAGCCGC